GAUGGCAGGGCCGAGUGGUCUAAGGAACUGGUUUUAAGCACCAGUCCGAAAGGGCGCGGGUUCGAAUCCCGCCGCCGUCA
Molecule: transfer RNA, 80 nt
Filed under: Mesocestoides corti
Lineage: Eukaryota; Metazoa; Platyhelminthes; Cestoda; Cyclophyllidea; Mesocestoididae
Rfam family: tRNA
About the family: Transfer RNA (tRNA) molecules are approximately 80 nucleotides in length. Their secondary structure includes four short double-helical elements and three loops (D, anti-codon, and T loops).
Source: Rfam by way of RNAcentral